AUGGAGAAGCAGGGCGGCGACCCGCCAGGCGGCGCGCUCCCAUUGAAGGGGCCUGUUACUGUGCUGAGGGCAUCGCAUGGGGAUAAACACACCAGUGACACGUGCUUGGAGCAUGAUGAAAUUAACAAAGCCCAAGAAAUAUUGUUUGAAGAAAAAAGAGAUCCCGAAGAUAUGGACGAUCAACAUCUAUAUGAGGAACAGGGGCAAGAAAUAGAUGAUGAUUUAACUGAAACUGAAGUGUCAGAUAGUCUACUGUGCGACGGUGUGAUAAAUUUGGUCCGGUGCCUUGAUUUUAUUGACUUUGGGACCAUACAACUAGAGUGUACAUUGCCAAGAAUUUGUAUAUGGAAGGGGAACCCAAGACUAUCACCCAAGACUAUCUCAAAGGCAUUUCUUCUUCCACACUGCUAG
RNAcentral lists this ribosomal RNA (411 nucleotides) under Triticum aestivum (bread wheat). RNAcentral's name for it is "partial small subunit ribosomal RNA". The record is from RNAcentral. Lineage: Eukaryota; Viridiplantae; Streptophyta; Magnoliopsida; Poales; Poaceae.